Long non-coding RNA from Papaver somniferum (opium poppy), 2118 nucleotides. RefSeq lists it as uncharacterized. Lineage: Eukaryota; Viridiplantae; Streptophyta; Magnoliopsida; Ranunculales; Papaveraceae. The record is from RefSeq and is a predicted model, not a curated record. The transcript has 2 exons.
UUGACGAGAAAACAGGGCAAGGAAGGAGUUGGAGACUUCAGAUGAAUUGGAAAACCAAUCAACAUCAAGGUGAAGAAAGGCGUGAAUGAGGAUGGUUUGUUGUGGACUGAAAUGGGUCUAAUUUGAUCUCAAAUGAUUUGAGAUGCAGUCAAUUGAAUGAAGGCUUGAGUAGUUGAAUUGACGGUGUAUGAACCUGAUUGCAGCAGCGGUUAUUCUUUAAGUAACUACAAUGGGUAUGGCAGGUCCGUUGCAGGCAGCAUUUUUGUACAGGAAAGAGCAGCAUCAAUGGCAGCUGUUGGUACUGAAUUUAAGGGAUUUCUGGUGGUUGUUUUUGAGAGAUUGAGAAUGGAUACUAGAUGAUGCUUCUAAUGCAAUUAAUUGCUCGAAUGAAUGGCAUGAAGUUUUAUUGUUUUAGGGUCCUGGUAUGCUUGGGAAAUUCGUGGUCUUGUGAAUUCGAAAUUGCAGGUGUAACUAAGAUAUUAGAGGAGCUUCAUACAACCAGCUGGAGGCUACCUCUGUACGUACUGAAGUUGCACUGCAUUUGCUCGCAGAAUUGCCUGAAAGAAGAAUUUACAAUGGGCCAGAAAUAGAAAGUGGUGAUGUGGUGCUCACUGGUUGAAUUCGAUGGAGGCCAUUAGCUGACGCAGUAGAUGAUGGAGGAGUUGUGUUAACUGAACUAGUUCCGUUGUGUAUGCGGUGUUGGUUCGAAUGAAGAUGGAUUUGUCCUGAAAUGAUCUUGAUGCGAUCGUGGUUAAUGGAAAUGGCUACAACAAUGCGGUUAUUUGGAGAGAUUUGUGGCUGUUGAUGCGAACGGAGAAGAAAGCUUGUUUACUAUGAUGGAGCUGCACUAUGGAGUCGUUGUUGCUUACUCGACUGUACGUACAACAAUGAUAUUUAGGAGUUCGAUUCACUGAAGCAUAUGGACUGAAUAAGAAGAACUGAUGGGGGAAACAAUGGAAUUACGAUGGUCGUGAAUUAUGGCCGACAGUGCAGCUGGAGUUCGUACCUUGUGUGUCGAUGAAGCAAACAAAAGAGCUGCUAUUGCCCGCUGAAUGGAGAGUUGGACGUGACUGAGAAGGUGGCAGUAGCGAGAAUGGAGAUGGCAUCGAACUGCCGAUACUCUAAUGGCAGAUGGCUGCAGAAGAAGAAAUCGGUGUUGAUGAACGAGAACAAAGGGAGUUGGUUUAUCUGUUUUGAGCUUGGCAGUAAGGAUGCAGGAUUGGCUAGACAACAUUUGAGGAACAGAGGGUUUAUAUGAAAGUUCUCGUUGGAGAAAUAGUCACAGCAACAGGGGAUGAAGAAACGGAGACCUGGCCGGACGAUGAAGGAAAUUCGAUGGAGUGUUGCGUAGUUGAUGGAUAUCAGUCGAUGGCAGGCAAGUAAUUGCCGUGUACACAGCCAAGUUGGUGGCGCUGUUAACAUGGUGAAGUUGGAGGUUAAGAAGAGAUUUUGAUUCCAGGGACGUUUAAAAAGAAAUGGAAGUUUUUGCUAUAUUUGAUUUGGGUUUGGCAGAGACUACACAUGGAGCUGUUGCCGGUGAAUUAUAACUGGAGUUGAGAGAAGAUCGGAGUUGUACUGCUGGUGAUGAUGGCGAUAGUUUGGAUUAUUGAUGCUGUAGCCGGACUUGGAUUAUUGAUGUGUUGGUCGGAUGAUAUGCUGGUUUGUUGCGGGCUGAAUAUGGAAAGUGGUGUCGAGGCCAGAGUUCAGGAAAUCAGUGCGAUAUUGGACUGGGCCUAAGCAUUUUACUAUGUCUUAGUCAGAUUUGUUUGCAAGACUAUAAGAAGAAAAGGAACACAGAGAAGAAGAGGGAGACCGGUUUUGGAGGCCGGCCACAGAGCCGAAGGGGAAAAGAACGGUGUCGCGGCCGUGAACUGAGAAGAGGCGACGACGGUGAACUGCUCAUAAGGAGGGGAGGAAGACUGGUUUUAUCGUGGUGACGGCAAGAUUAUUAUUGGUUUAUCUUUCUUAUCUCUUGAUUAUUAUUUUUAUGGGUUUUGAGAAAUCCAUUUUAAUGUAUUGCUAGAUUUCUUUGUAACUAGGGUUUAUUAUUGAAACCACUUUGGGUAUUAGGAAACUCUAAAUUGAAUGAUUUUGCAAUAGACCAUUAUGAUUUGAGUA